AUUGACGAUGUUAACUCUCCCACAUAGGGUCUUCGACAUGUUUUGUCGAUACAAAAAUUGAUUAGUAAUUUGACCAGUGACGACGUUGACAACUGACAUUAGGCUCAUUCAUGUUGUUGUCUUCUGUUAAGGCAUCAGGUUUAAUUUAUAGGCUCGCCUCAUGAGCAUAGUUAUGCUCCGACCGAUGUCCAUUAUGUAUCCAUAGGUUGUACGUGAGAAUAUUAUGCUCCCACCAAUCUCCAGAGGUAUCCAUAGGUUGUAUAUGAGUGUUAGAGUAAUGGGCCACGGGUAGGCCAACCCGAUCCCCAUAACCUUUCAAAACGUCGGGGCAGGCUGCGCCCCUCAAGACCACAGGGCGAAGAGCCACCUCCUGGGGAGUCUACGGCAAGGUGGCCGACUGCCCGCUCACGGCCGAGUCCCGGGGGCGACUUCCAGAGAAGCCGGCUUUGGGGAGUCGGCCGGCGACUCUAACAAACCAUGACCUCAUCGAAGGGGACGGGGCAGGGGCGUGGCUACAAUGAAGCCCACUCCCCGCCCCUUACCACGGGCAGGCAUGGCUACAGCACGCCGUACUUGGGAAGAUCUCCCUGCGGCGUGGCACUGUUGCCCGGCCGGUCCUGACAUCAGCACCACUGUACCGGGUCCUGCACCCACGACGGCUUGUUUGUACGGCCUAGAGGCAGCAGCGCCCACCAGUCAGCGAGACCUUGGGAGACGGCGAGAGAACCGCCAGUCGGACCCGCCGGGAGUCGGCCCGGGGGAGUCGGCCGAGCCCUCCCUCGGGGCCCACGUGCCAUUAAUCAAGAAGAGAUGGGGGAGUGGCCACAGUGAUCGCCCCGCCAGGCGGCGGGGCUGUUGCCACGACCCCAUGACCAAGCUCGCGUCAUCAGGAGCGCGGCUAUAGUAAUCAGCAGCCGGCAAGACCCGCCCGCGGCGGACGCGGCCUGUCGGCUCCAUAAUAGACCAGUCGGCGGGGCCCACCAGUCGGCGGGCCCCAACAGUCGGCGGAGAAGUCGAAGGUCGGAGGCACUGACGACUGGGCCCACGCCCAGUCGAAUUACCAUUGUACCCUUGGGGGUAGGCCUAUAUAACCCCCAGGGCACCCAUGCAAAGGGUUGGAUCCCAGUAGUUCUAAACCACACCAGAUAGAAGGAGAGAGCUGGCCUUGCCCUCUGCUACCACCCGAACAGCUCAAGGAGCAACCUUGUAAACACUUGGCCAUAGUGAUCAUGCGGAGACCCCGCAGAGCAGCAGUAGGGGUGUUAUCUCCCCGGAGAGCCCUGAAGCUGGGUAAGAUUCGCCGGCGUGCAUGUCUUCGCCUCAUCCCGUUUCCAGGCACCGGCGACGUUCUACUCGCCCCCACCAUGAUAAGUCAUCUGUUGGCAUAUGUCGCACCAAACCCCCGACAUUUGGCGCCCACCGUGGGGCAUGGUGCACCGCCGUCCGAAGAUCUGUUCUGGACGGGAACCCUUUUCCUCCCUGGCGAGCGCAGCCAGCCAGGCACACCAGGCGAAGUUUGCAUCGACGCGCUGCGCGGCGUUGAGAUCGCCUGCACAGCCAGCUCCUUGGCCGAACUUGUCGGCGAGGCCCGCCUCUCCGACGAACCUGCGUCCGACGCAGGCGCGGGCGGCCCCGAAAACCUCCUCGCGGGCCUCCUCGAUCAACUCCACGUUUCCGGCGAGCCUGCCGUAGACUUGGAAUCCGUAGGCUCCACCGACCCGAUGCUGGUCGACUCCGACACCGCGUCGGUCGACACGUUCCCCACCAACGUGGUGGUCUACGACGAGCCUCUCUCCCACGCGAAGAGCGACGGAAGCACCGUCACUGAGGUGCUGGUCAUCAGUCAUGACGAGUUCCCUGGCGGGGGAGGGGGGGCGCCCGACUCACUCGGCGCGGCGCUGCAAGAUCUAGCUGCGCCCAUUCCGGAAGAUGCCGACGCAGAGAUGCUAGAAGCGCGCCGCCUUCAGCUUGUUGAAGGCGUGAAGAAGCUGGCCAGCAUGAGAUGCUUGUCAGAAGCUUACCAGCGAGAGAUGGAUCACGCUGUUGACGGCUCGCCGGCCCCGGCAGGGCCCAGCCGCCUUGGCGCGGUUCAGCAACGCGGCGUAGCCAUCGCCAGCCUGUUUGGGGCUAGCCGCCCCGUGUAUGCCACGCCAGCGGAGAACAUCCGAGCCGCCCAGGCAGCGGCGGAUGAGCUGGACAAUUUCGAGGGCGAAGAGCGCCGCCUCAUGAUGGAGCGAGUCCAGCGGGUCCUCGACGCGGCCGCCGCGUAGAACAAGGCCGGCUGCCGCACAAAGGCGCCGCAGCGGCCAAACGACGACCCACAUCGAGAUCAAGGCGCGACGUCUCGGACGCCGACUGGCGGUGCCCGAGGAAGAAAGGACAAGGAGCCGGCUGUCAGCCACAGUCGGACUCGGAUUACCGUAGAGCACGACCGAGAUGGCUGCCCGAGAGCAGUGGAACGACGGGACGACUGUCCGCCUCCCCCUCCCCGCAAGGAGAGGCGAGUCUCCCUGCCGCCUGUUGACCAUCCGACUCUCGGUGACCGUCUUGGCCGCCGAGAGAGAGUUGGAGAGAAUGACGCCCGCCACCGGAUCAACCGACUUCACCGAUCCCUGGCGCUGGAAGAAGAAGACGAGCUGGGUCCGCCUUGUUUCGGGCCCCGCAUUCGGGACGAGCCCUUUCCCAGAGGGUUCACGCUCCCAAGAGACACGCCCAAGUAUACCGGCUCCGUGAAGCCGGAAGACUGGCUAGUCGACUACUUCAUGGCUGUCAGCAUAGCAAACGGCAACAAGCGUGUUGCUGUAAAGUACGUUCUGCUCAUGCUCCAGGGCACGGCUCGGACAUGGCUGAACAGCCUAAAGCCCCGCAGCAUCAACAGUUGGGUCGACUUCACCGAAGCAUUCGUCCGCAACUUCACCAGCACGUACAAGUGUCCUCCCAAGCCUCGUCAGCUCUCCUUGUGCGUGCAAGGUCCUGACGAGUCGACUCGCGACUACCUCACGUGUUGGGCUGAGCUUCGAAACUCCUGCGAGGGCGUGCACGAGGUGCAGGCCAUCGAGUACUUCACAGCCGGGUGCCGAGAAGGCACCCUCCUCAAGCACAAGCUCCUCUGUGACGAGCCAGAAACCCUUGACGAGCUGCUGAUCAUAGCGGACAAGUACGCUACGGCCGACUCCUCCAUGAAAACGGAAAUUCAAAUCAGCACGACUGGCAAAGUAGCUCCUCAGGCUCCAAGAACUCCGGCGGCAGACGCCGGCCGGCGACAACAGCAGGGCGACAACAAGCGCAAGGCCCCGCAGCCGGCUUCCAGCAGCCGGCAAGUCGCGACCGUUGAAGCCCAGCAGCCAGAAGAGCAGCCUCCGCCCAAGCGACAGAAAGGCGGCAAGCCGAACUGGUUGUCGGCCUUCUCCUACGAGCAGACCUUGGACGGACCUUGCAAGUUCCACAGCGGCGCGAAGCCGUCGAAUCAUACCACCCGGAAGUGCCACUGGCUCACCAGGAUCGCCAAGGGAGACGGCCUCCUGCCACCCCCGCCUGCUGGGCAGCCGCCUCCGCCUCCGCCCCAGCAGCCGGCAGUCAGGCCAGUCGGCACAGUACAAGACGAAUACCCUGAAGAGCACGGAGCCUAUGUGGUGUUCACCAGUGUGGCUGAUGAUCGACGCAGCAGGCGGCUGCAGCGACAAGAGGUGAACGCAGUAGCUUCAGAGAUGCUAGAGUUCAUGCACUGGUCUAAGAGGCCCAUCAGCUGGAGCAGGGCUGACCACCCAGAAGUGAUGCCGAGUCCGGGCUCCUACGCCUUGGUCCUGGACGCCACCUUUGCCACGGACAAACGAGCCACGCGUUUCUCAUGAGUUCUGAUAGAUGGGGCAGCAGCAUCAGUAUCCUGUACAAGGAAACCAUGGAGAAGUUAGGAAUCAAGCAGAGACAGCUUCAGAGCAGCCGGACUGUGUUCCACGGCAUUGUUCCUGGGUUUUCCUGCUCACUAAUCGGCAAGAUCCUGAUUGACGUCCUCUUUGGGGACAAAGAUCACUUCCGAAGAGAGUCUGUUUGGUUUGAGGUAGUGGACCUCGAGAGCCCAUAGCAUGCGCUACUUGGCCAGCCCGCCUUGGCCAAGUUCAUGGCGGUCCCCCACUAUGCCUACCUCAAGAUGAAGAUGCCCAGUUCCAGGGGAAUUCUGACUGUGGCCGGCGACUACCGGAAGUCGCGCGCUUGCGCGACCGAGAGCAAUCGGCUGGUCGAGUCCCUGGUGAUUGCAGCCGAGAAGCGACUCCUUGAGCGAGUUGCGGCGAUGGCCGGCAAGCAGCCGGAGAUAUCCCCCGACCCGAAGGAGUCGGAAGCCGAAGAUUCGUUCAAGCCGGCCAAAGAGACAAAGAAGAUACCCUUGGAUCCGGAGCGCCCAGAGAGGUACGCCGUCGUAGGUGCAAACCUCGACAGCAAAUAGGAAGGCGAGCUCGUCGAUUUCCUCCGUGAGAAUCGGGACAUCUUCGCAUGGUCUCCCAAGGACAUGCCAGGUGUACCGACGGAUUUCGCCGAGCACAAGUUACACGUCCGAUCUGAUGCAAAGCCGGUCAGGCAGCCCUUGCGCCGCUUAUCAGAAGAGAAGAGAAGAGUUAUCGGAGAAGAGAUAGCCCGACUCCUAGCAGUCGGCUUCAUUAUGGAAGUUUUCUUCCCGGAGUGGCUAGCAAAUCCGGUCCUGGUGCUGAAGAAGAACAAGCAAUGGCGAAUGUGUAUUGACUACCUGAGCCUCAACAAGGCCUGUCCCAAGGACCCAUUUGCUCUACCGAGAAUUGACCAGGUGAUAGACUCCACAGCCGGAUGCGAGUUGUUGAGCUUCUUGAAUGCAUACUCAGGAUAUCACCAGAUCAAGCUGAAUCCGGCUGACAGAUUGAAGACCGCCUUCAUCACGCCGUUUGGAGCAUUCUGCUACCUCACCAUGACGUUCGGCUUAAGGAAUGCCGGCGCCACCUUUCAGCGUUGCAUGCAGAAGUGCCUCCUCAAGUAGCUCGGCAGGAACGCCCACGUUUACGUGGACAACGUGGUGGUGAAGAUGGAAAAGCGAGGAACACUGCUGGAAGACCUCAAGGAGACCUUUGAGAACCUGCGCCGGUUCCAGAUCAAGCUCAACCCCGAGAAGUGUGUCUUCGGAGUACCAGCCGGCCAGCUGCUAGGUUUUCUGGUCUCUGAACGCGGCAUAGAAUGCAACCCAGUAAAGAUCAAGGCCAUCGAGAGAAUGGAGGUACCCAGCCGACUGCUGGAUGUGCAGAAGUUCACCGGCUGCUUGGCGUCCAUCAGCCGAUUCAUCAGUCGGCUGGGCGAGAAAGCUCUCCCCUUAUACCAACUCAUGAAGAAGACCACUUUUUUCGAGUGGAACCAUAAGGCGGACGAAGAUUUCCACCAGUUGAAGAAGAUGCUGACUACUCCACCCGUCCUGGCGGCUCCGACUCCCAAGGAACAUAUGCUCCUGUACAUCGCCGCCACCAGCCAAGUAGUCAGCACAGUCAUUGUAGUAGAGCGCAAGGAGGAAGGCAAGGCGCUACCUGUCCAGAGACCAGUAUAUUACCUGAGCGGGGUACUGUCGACCUCCAAGCAGAACUACCCCCACUACCAGAAGAUGUGUUAUGGCGUGCACUUUGCUGCCAAGAAAUUGAAGCCUUACUUUCAAGAGCAUCCAAUCACAGUGGUCUGCACGGCUCCACUUGCCGAGAUCAUCGGUAGCCGAGAUGCCUCUGGUCCAGUGGCCAAGUGGGCCAUAGAGCUGGCUCCUUACACCAUCUACUACCAGCCCCGCACCGCCAUCAAAUCACAAGCACUGGCCGACUUCCUCGUCGACUGGGCCGAGACCCAGUACCUGCCUCCAGCGCCUGACUCCACCCAUUGACGGAUGCACUUCAACGGCUCCAAGAUGCGCACCGGCUUGGGAGCCGGCGUCGUCCUUACCUCUCCCAAAGGCGACAAGCUCAAAUAUGCACUGCAAAUCCAUUUUGCCACCUGCAACAACGUGGCCGAGUACGAGGCGCUCAUUCACGGGCUCCGGCUUGCCAAAGAACUUGGCAUCCGCCGGAUCUUGUGUUAUGGCGACUCGGACUUAGUGGUCCAGCAGUCAUCUGGCGACUGGGAUGCGAAAGACGCAAACAUGGCGAGCUACUGUUUCCUCGUACAGCAACUCAACGGGUAUUUCGAAGGGUGCGAGUUCCUCCAUGUGCCAAGAAACGACAACGACCAAGCAGACGCCUUGACACGAAUCGGCUCUACCCGCCAAGCAAUACCAUAUGGCGUCGCCCUUCAACGCCUCCUCAAGCCGUCUGUCAAACCUUCACCAGAAUCAGACUCCAUUUUUGUGCCGGCUCCUCCCAAAGACGGCGGGUCCGACUCCAGAGCUCCGGUAGUCGGAACGGGGACUUUGGCGGGCGACUCCAAAGCUGCCACAGUCGAGCCCGGCCCGGGGACUGCGGUGACGGACUCGAAGAUUUCAGAACUCGGCCCAAGGACCGCGCCAGUCGGCCUGGGGACUUCAUCAGCCCAGCAAGCGGCUGUUGACUCCAGCCCGCCGCCUCCCAGCCCAGCCGCCCUCGCCCAAGUCGCAGUUCUGGUAGUCGAAGAAAUAGCAGCACCCUCAUGGGCCCAGCCCAUCCUCAAAUUCCUAGUGAACAAAGAGCUACCAACUGAUGAGACCUCAGCUCGGCAAGUACAACGCCGGGCGGCAGCCUAUACCAUAAUCAAGAGAGAGCUGGUCAGGCGCAGCGUCACCGGUGUCUACCAGCGCUGCGUAGAGCCAGAGCAAGGCCAGGCACUCCUCAAAGACAUCCAUCAAGGCGAAUGCGGCCACCAUGCGGCUUCAAGAGCAGUCGUUGCCAAAGCUUUUUGGCACGGUUUCUUUUAGCCGACUGCCUUGGAAGAGGCCAAGGAGUUGGUCCAAAAAUGCAAAGGGUGCCAAAAGUUCAGCUCCAAGCCGCACCAGCCGGCUUCCGCGCUCAAGACCAUCCCCAUUGCUUGGCCUUUCGCAGUUUGGGGUCUAGACAUUGUGGGACCAUUCAAAACAGCAUGAGGUGGUCUAACUCACCUACUUGUCGCAGUAGACAAGUUCACCAAGUGGGUGAAAGUGAAGCCAAUUAAGAAACUGAACGGUCUGACUGCCGUGACCUUCAUCACCGAUAUCACAAUUCGGUACGGCAUACCACACAACAUCAUCACCGACAACGGCACAAAUUUUGCCAAAGGCGCCUUGGCCCGUUUCCGCGCAACACAGGGCAUCUGACUGGACCUAGCGUCCGUCGCCCACUCGCAGUCAAACGGCCAAGUGGAGCGAGCAAACGGCCUCAUCCUGUUCGGCAUCAAGCCUCGGUUGAUCGAGCCUCUGGAGCGCUCGCCUGGCUGCUGGCUCGACGAGCUGCCAGCCGUCCUCUAGAGUCUGCGCACGACUCCAAACAAGUCAACCGGCUUCACGCCCUUCUUCCUCGUCUACGGUGCCGAAGUCGUCAUCCCAACGGACAUAGAGUUCGACUCCCCACGAGUCACCAUGUACACCGAGGAGGAAGCAGAAGAAGCAUGACAAGACGGCGUCGAUUUGCUGAAAGAGGGCCGGCUGUUGGCACUCAGCCGGUCCAGCAUCUACCAGCAGAGCCUGCGCCGAUACCACAACAGGAAGGUCAGGCCAAGAUCUUUCCAAGAAGGCGACCUUGUGCUCCAGCUGAUCCAGCGAACAGCCGGCCAGAACAAGCUGUCGCCGCCUUGGGAAGGCCCUUUCAUCAUCAGCAAAGUAAUAGGCAACGAUUCCUAUUACCUGAUCAUCGCUCAGAAGCCCCGAGCAUGCAAGAGGGACGACUCCGGCAAGGAGACAGAGCGGCCAUGGAAUGCAAAUUUUCUGCGAAGAUUUUACAGUUGAUGCAGUAUGUACCACGCUACCUUUUGUAUUAAAGUACCAAGACUUCGAGCCCCCCGAGACGAGCUCGGGGACUGCCCUCUUUUGUUUGUAUGAUAAAAAUUAUACCUACAAGUAUGUUACUCUUUGUCAUGCCGCUUGGCACCGGGCUUGACAAGUCGGCCCGGGGACUUGCCGCCUUGCACUAUGAAAUGCUUCCUGCAGCCAGACAAGUAGUGUGUAACACCUAAGCCGUCUUCUGUCAAAAGCCGCAGCUCGCAGAGCGGCUAUACAGUGGGCAGAGGUAAGGUAGAAUGGGUGCUCGCACGAAAAAUGGCUAAGGACUCAAAGCGUAAAACAUAGCUCAAGACGGCUUCCAGCCUUUCUCGCAAACUGACUCUCGGAAAGUCGGAUUGUCGUUUUCUAUCCAACUUGCUCAAACAAUCUUGAAAUCGGCUAAGUACUUGCUUUCCCAAAGUAGCCUAACACUUGAUCCAGCAACAGUCCACAGAGCGGUUGUCCGAUUGGCAAGGCAGGCAACUAAGAAAAAGCGGCAAAGGAAAAUAGCCAAAAGAACAAUGAGUAANNNNNNNNNNNNNNNNNNNNNNNNNNNNNNNNNNNNNNNNNNNNNNNNNNNNNNNNNNNNNNNNNNNNNNNNNNNNNNNNNNNNNNNNNNNNNNNNNNNNNNNNNNNNNNNNNNNNNNNNNNNNNNNNNNNNNNNNNNNNNNNNNNNNNNNNNNNNNNNNNNNNNNNNNNNNNNNNNNNNNNNNNNNNNNNNNNNNNNNNNNNNNNNNNNNNNNNNNNNNNNNNNNNNNNNNNNNNNNNNNNNNNNNNNNNNNNNNNNNNNNNNNNNNNNNNNNNNNNNNNNNNNNNNNNNNNNNNNNNNNNNNNNNNNNNNNNNNNNNNNNNNNNNNNNNNNNNNNNNNNNNNNNNNNNNNNNNNNNNNNNNNNNNNNNNNNNNNNNAACAUAGGCCCUUGGCCGAAUUAUCGAGUAGAGGUUCAAAAUACACCCCACGGCUGGAAUUGUGCGAAUUAACAAGUUCUUCAAAAGACUACUGAAGCAGAUAAAACAAAAGACACAGCGACAGCUUAGGAGGUGGCAGACGGAUUCGGGGGGUCGGAGGAGGCGCCAGCGUUAGGCGUCGGGGCGGUCGGCCGGCUAGUCUCGGCUUGAUCGCCUCCGGCAGCAGUCGGAUCGGUCGCACGCGGCUCGUUGUUGGAGGCGCGGUCGGGCUGAGGCUGGCCGUCUGCUCCGUCUUCUGGUGUCUCCACCUCGCCCUCAUCCUCCGCCUCAUCCUCCUCCUCGACGCUGGAGCCAAUCACCUCCGCCGAGUCUUCGCCGUAGUCUGGGUUCAUCCCAAACCACUCCGGCGGUACCUCCUCGCCGUCUUCAGACCGCUCGGGGACGAAGAUGCUCGUGUCGGUGUACUCGACGAUCGCCGCAGCACGCUUGACGAGGGCGUCUUCCACAGCCGCCAGCUCCGGCUGGGCCUCCACCGAAGCAUGGCCAACCGGUCUAGAUCCAGCCCCGGGUACCACGCCUUGACGAACUCAAAGGCCCGGCGUGCUCCUUCCCGGGCCAAAGAGCCCUUCCAGGCCUCGAGGCGACCAGCCGCGACCUUCAACCAGUUGGCCGUCAGGCUGGGGGUGCACGGAGCCUGCAUAUCCGGCCAAAGGGCAGAAAUCGCCUGGGCACCAACGCGCUGAAGCCGGCGCAGCAUCCGAUGAGCCGGCCGAAGGCGAGCCUCAAUGCUCAAGAUGUGCUCAUCAAGAGUUCGGGGGGCAUCGGCGGCGAUCUCCGCGCCCUCCGCCCUCCGACUUUCACGAUCGGCCUCGAUGGCUUGGAUAGCGGCCUGCGACUGCCCAGGGAAGAAGUCUGCAAAAGACACGAAGAAACGAAGAAGCAAGUCAAAAACCAGGAGUCAGCACGAUCUAAGUCGGCAGCUCGAACAAAGAAAAUAAAUAGACUCACCAUCAACGAUGUCUUCAAUCUCGUGGAAGCCGGAGGACAGCAGCGCCUCCUUGUCAGACCAGGAGGAGCGCUCGCUCGUGAACUCGGCCAAGAGGGCGGUUUCCGUCUCCCCCGCCUCCCUCUGCGACUUCGCAAGCAGCUCCUUCUGCUCCGCCAACUGAGUGACCGGCAGAUCGCGCUCUGUGGCGAGCCUGCUACAUUCCUCCCCUUUGGCGAGCAGGGCGGAGUUGGCUUCGCUCAGCUGCUGUUGAAGUGCAGCGUUGGCUCCUGAAGGAAAGGGAAGAAAGACAACAGUCGUCAAUAAAGUAGGUCGCCGGGGAGAUCCGGCCCAACUGCUCAGCAGUCGGCCCGAAUCUCAGGGACUACAGCCCGCGGGUGCGCUAGCGCGCCCCCGCAGAAAAAGAAAAAGAAGGAAGGACUUACUCCGACUCUCCGUCAAGUCGGCGGUCCGCUUGCCCAGCUCUUCAACAUUACGGUUGAAGGCAGUGACGCGGAGGUUGUGGUAAUCCUGCAACAAGCAUUUCAGAUAAAGUUAGUAUCCAGAAGUUCAUCAAUUGGAGUUCCGGGUCGCCUGCUCAGCAGCCGGCCCGAAACUCGGGGACUACACCCAGUGGGUGCGCUGACGCGCCCCCACAGAGAGGAACAAGAAAAACAAAGGCCCAAAGAAAAAACAUACCCGGACGGCUGCCCGCGAUGCUAGGAACGCCUUGGUGCAACUCUGGAGGGCGUCGCCCUCAGCGCGGAGCUUCGCCUGGACGUCCAGGAGCGCCCGGUUCAGCGGCCCUGCGCCGCCUCCUCGCACCCACCCAACAGGUGCGGCGCUCGUCGCUUCGGCGUAUGGAGCCGCCGAGCUGGCGGUGCCGGCUUCCAGGGGCGGGGUGCCGAAGUCGCCUUCUCCAGACGACGGCGCGCUGGCGAGCCGACCUGGAGUAGCCUCGCCACGGCCUCGUCUUCGGUCGGCGGCACCGGAGGGUCCGCUGGCUGCUCGCCCUGCAUGCCUUCAGACGGCGGCGGAGGCGGCAGCGGAACGUUCGCACCCGGAGUAGAGGGCUCGCCGCCUUCCCUCUCCUCGACGAGGUUCUCCCCGCCGGCUUCUCCAGUCUGCCCCGUGAACUCCGGGGGCGGCGGCGUAGAGUUUAGCGGGGCAACAAGCAAGGCCGACUGGCGGCGUGCGGCUUCCUCAGCCUGCUGCUUCGUCGCGGCGGCGGCUUCGGCCUCCGCUAGUUUUUUCUUAGCGAAGGCCUCCGCCCUGUCGGCAUCCGCCUUCUCCAGGCGAAGGGCUUCUUCUUCGUUGCGCUUCUCCUGCGCAUUCCGCUCCGUCGCCUCCCUGAGGUCGGCAGCGGGGUCUAUUCGCCGAGUGGUGGCGGGUGUCUCCGCUGACCCCAUGACGGAGGCGGCGGCGACCCGCUCAAGAGAGAGGGGAGCCCUGAAGAAAGAGGGGCGAGCAGAGACUCAGACAAAACACGAAGAAAGAAUAAACUUUGAAGAUAGAACACUUACGCAGAGACCAACGGCGGCUUCUUCACUUCCUUACGGAAGCGGAUGGCCUUCGCGGCUGGCUCGUCCCGCCGGGUCGCCGCAGCCGAGCCCUUCGGCUUCUUCGGCCGGCUGCCGAACAAAGUCGGCGCAGCCCGACACUUCUUCCCGCCGCCUGGAGCGCCCGACGCGGCAGAAGAGCCCACGCCCGGCUGGCUGGCUCCUGGCCGAUGGCGAGGGGCGACUCCUCCCUCGGCGUCGUCUUCAGGCCAGUCGCCCCUCGUGGCGACGUUCCUAACGUAGAAGUAGGACCUCUGCCACAUCUUCACCGACUUCAACAGCGAGAUGGAGGGGAAGUGGUUGUCAGCUCCUGUCCUUCGCACGGCGAUGAAGGCGCCGCACAGAGCCGGCACGCCCGCGGCCUGGGUGCCGAGCUUGGAGAAGAACUCCCCCCAGAGAUCGAGGGUGGGGAGGACUCCGAGGAAGCCUUCGUACAGAGCCACGAAGGCGGACAGCAGCACCACUGUGUUGGGGGUGAGGUGGUGCGGCUGGAGGCCGUAGAACUCCAUGAACGACCGGAAAAAGCUGCUCGCCGGCAGCCCCAGCCCGCGCAGGCAGUGCGAGCGAAAGAUGACCCGCUCGCCCUCCUGCGGGGCGGGGGAAAUCUCCCCCGCCGGUGCAAGACGCACCUGCACGCGGCUUCGCCGGGAAGCCGACGGGUCCGGCGGAGGAACUUGAUAUGGUCUUCGUGGACUUCGGAGCCGUCCCAGGUGCCGGAGCGCACUGGAGGAGGCGCGGCAGCAGAGGAAGAACUCAUCCGAAGCUGUCACCGCAGCGUUCGCCGAAGCCUGGGCGUGCGGCGGAGCGAAGAAGAGGAGAGGAAACAGGAGAGCGAGGAGGAAGAAAGCAAGGGGUAGUGGGGAGGAGAGGCGCGCGUGCCCCCCUCUUCCCCCUACUUAUAGCCCUGUGGGUUGCAAAGCCGAGGGGGCGGAUGUGGGGAUUUACUGCGCCCGCAACCCCAUGACCCCCACGAUUCACGUAAAGUUACUAUGCGCAGUAACUUCACGGGAAUCCCAACCGUCCACCAGGGCCGCAGCGGAUCCGCUCAGGCGCCGAGGCGCGGUAGUGGCAGGCCCCGCCUACGGGCCCGUCCUGUCAUGCGCGUGGGCUGGCAGGACGGCCUGGCCACGUGCCCUCGCGCGACAGGCCAAGAACGGGCGGCGGUCUGGAAGCUUAGCUAGCACGCCACUUGAAAUCCCGCCGCGACGUUCGAACUGCUGAGCAAGUCGGAAUUGAGUGAGUCCGAGUUGGGCGAGUCCGACUCCUUCUAGUCAGCCCGGCAGAAGUCAAUCAAGAUCAUGUGUUGAGCACCCGAAGAGAAAAACUGCUGAGGCUUCUCGGCCGAUCGUCCGCGGCGCCUCACCAGCUUCGGGGACUACUGUCGAAGUAAUGGGCCACGGGUAGGCCAACCCGAGCCCCAUAACCUUUCAAUACAACGGGGCAGGCUGCGCCCCUCAAGACCACAGGGCGAAGAGCCGCCUCCUGGGGAGUCUAUGGCAAGGCGGCCGACUGCCCGCUCACGAUCGAGUCCCAGGGACGACUUCCAGAGAAGCCGGCUUUGGGGAGUCGGCGGGCGACUCCAACAAACCAUGACCUCAUCGAAGGGGACGGGGCAGGGGCGUGGCUACAAUGAAGCCCACUCCCCGCCCCUUACCACGGGCAGGCAUGGCUACAACACGUCGUACUUGGGAAGAUCUCCCUGCGGCGUGGCACUGUUGCCCGGCCGACCCUAACAUCAGCACCACUGUACCGGGUCCUGCGCCCACGACGGCUUGUUUGUACGGCCUGGAGGCAGCGGGGCGCACCAGUCAGCGAGACCUCAGGAGACGGCGAGAGAAUCGCCAGUCGGACCCGUCGGGAGUCGGCCCGGGGGAGUCGGCCGAGCCCUCCCCGGGGCCCACGCGCCAUUAAUCAAGAAGAGAUGGGGAGUGGCCACAGUGAUCGCCCGCCGGGCGGCGGGGCUGUUGCCACGACCCCAUCACCAAGCUCGCGUCAUCAGGAGCGCGACUACAGUAAUCAGCAGCCUGCAAGACCCGCCCGCGGCGGACGCGGCCUGUCGGCUCCGUACCAGACCAGUCAACGGGGCCCACCAGUCGGCGGGCCCCAGCAGUCGACGAAGAAGUCGAAGGUCGAAGGCACUGACGGUUGGGCCCACGCCCAGUAGAAUUACCAUUGUACCCCUGGGGGUAGGCCUAUAUAAACCCCCCAGGGCACCCAUGCAAAGGGUUGGAUCCCAGUAGUUCUAAACCACACCAGACAGAAGGAGAGAGCUGGCCUUGCCCUCUGCUACCACCCGAACAGCUCAAGGAGCAACCUUGUAAACACUUGGCCAUAGUGAUCAUGCGGAGGCCCCGCAGAGCAGCAGUAGGGGUGUUAUCUCCCCGGAGAGCCCUGAAGCUGGGUAAGAUUCGCUGGCGUGCAUGUCUUCGCCUCAUGCCGUUUCCAGGCACCGACGACAUUCUACUCGCCCCCACCAUGAUAAGCCAUCCGUUGGCAUAUGUCGCACCAAACCCCCGACAAUGAGAAGAGCCAAGACUGCAUCCUUACAGAGCAGAACACUAUCCAAG
This 13933-nucleotide long non-coding RNA is filed under the name Triticum aestivum (bread wheat). RNAcentral's name for it is "long non-coding RNA (TAES_LNC010046)". Lineage: Eukaryota; Viridiplantae; Streptophyta; Magnoliopsida; Poales; Poaceae. The record is from RNAcentral.